AGUGAACGCUGGCGGUAGGCCUAACACAUGCAAGUUGAACGGCAGCACAGGAGAGCUUGCUCUCUAGGUGGCGAGUGGCGGACGGGUGAGGAAUACAUCGGAAUCUGCCCAGUCGUGGGGGAUAACGUAGGGAAACUUACGCUAAUACCGCAUACGACCUUCGGGUGAAAGAGGGGGAUCGCAAGACCUCUCGCGAUUGGAUGAGCCGAUGUCGGAUUAGCUAGUUAGCGGGGUAAUGGCCCACCAAGGCGACGAUCCGUAGCUGGUCUGAGAGGAUGAUCAGCCACACUGGAACUGAGACACGGUCCAGACUCCUACGGGAGGCAGCAGUGGGGAAUAUUGGACAAUGGGCGCAAGCCUGAUCCAGCCAUACCGCGUGGGUGAAGAAGGCCUUCGGGUUGUAAAGCCCUUUUGUUGGGAAAGAAAUCUUUCAGGCUAAUACCCUGGGAGGAUGACGGUACCCAAAGAAUAAGCACCGGCUAACUUCGUG
This 490-nucleotide ribosomal RNA is filed under the name uncultured bacterium. RNAcentral's name for it is "partial 16S ribosomal RNA". It matches the Rfam family "Bacterial small subunit ribosomal RNA", at positions 29 to 507 of the family's 1533-position model. The record is from RNAcentral.